Molecule: transfer RNA, 78 nt
Filed under: bacterium HR27
Lineage: Bacteria
Description: tRNA-Gly
Source: RNAcentral
UCGGGAGGAGGAUUCGGGCCCUAUUGCGGUCGGCUUCCCAAGCCGGUUGUCGCGGGUUCGAAUCCCGUCUCCCGCUCC